GAUGAACGCUGGCGGCGUGCCUAAUACAUGCAAGUCGAGCGAACGGACGAGGAGCUUGCUUCUCUGAUGUUAGCGGCGGACGGGUGAGUAACACGUGGAUAACCUACCUAUAAGACUGGGAUAACUUCGGGAAACCGGAGCUAAUACCGGAUAAUAUUUUGAACCGCAUGGUUCAAAAGUGAAAGACGGUCUUGCUGUCACUUAUAGAUGGAUCCGCGCUGCAUUAGCUAGUUGGUAAGGUAACGGCUUACCAAGGCAACGAUGCAUAGCCGACCUGAGAGGGUGAUCGGCCACACUGGAACUGAGACACGGUCCAGACUCCUACGGGAGGCAGCAGUAGGGAAUCUUCCGCAAUGGGCGAAAGCCUGACGGAGCAACGCCGCGUGAGUGAUGAAGGUCUUCGGAUCGUAAAACUCUGUUAUUAGGGAAGAGCAUAUGUGUAAGUAACUGUGCACAUCUUGACGGUACCUAAUCAGAAAGCCACGGCUAACUACGUG
Molecule: ribosomal RNA, 497 nt
Filed under: uncultured bacterium
Lineage: Bacteria
Description: partial 16S ribosomal RNA
Rfam family: Bacterial small subunit ribosomal RNA
Source: RNAcentral